Molecule: ribosomal RNA, 540 nt
Filed under: Rhodotorula mucilaginosa
Lineage: Eukaryota; Fungi; Basidiomycota; Microbotryomycetes; Sporidiobolales; Sporidiobolaceae
Description: partial large subunit ribosomal RNA
Rfam family: Eukaryotic large subunit ribosomal RNA
Source: RNAcentral
AAACUAACAAGGAUUCCCCUAGUAGCGGCGAGCGAAGCGGGAAGAGCUCAAAUUUAUAAUCUGGCACCUUCGGUGUCCGAGUUGUAAUCUCUAGAAAUGUUUUCCGCGUUGGACCGCACACAAGUCUGUUGGAAUACAGCGGCAUAGUGGUGAGACCCCCGUAUAUGGUGCGGACGCCCAGCGCUUUGUGAUACAUUUUCGAAGAGUCGAGUUGUUUGGGAAUGCAGCUCAAAUUGGGUGGUAAAUUCCAUCUAAAGCUAAAUAUUGGCGAGAGACCGAUAGCGAACAAGUACCGUGAGGGAAAGAUGAAAAGCACUUUGGAAAGAGAGUUAACAGUACGUGAAAUUGUUGGAAGGGAAACGCUUGAAGUCAGACUUGCUUGCUGAGCAAUCGGUUUGCAGGCCAGCAUCAGUUUUCCGGGAUGGAUAAUGGUAGAGAGAAGGUAGCAGUUUCGGCUGUGUUAUAGCUCUCUGCUGGAUACAUCUUGGGGGACUGAGGAACGCAGUGUGCCUUUGGCGGGGGUUUCGACCUCUUCACACU